Molecule: transfer RNA, 90 nt
Filed under: Pseudomonas asuensis
Lineage: Bacteria; Pseudomonadati; Pseudomonadota; Gammaproteobacteria; Pseudomonadales; Pseudomonadaceae
Description: tRNA-Pro
Source: RNAcentral
UAUCAAAAUGGUCUACGGCGAGGAGGCCAGGGCUGGGCGCUCUGUCAAAACCGUUGAUGUUGACGCUGCUGAUCGUGCCCGCUUCAGUAU